Long non-coding RNA from Astyanax mexicanus (Mexican tetra), 259 nucleotides. RefSeq lists it as uncharacterized. Lineage: Eukaryota; Metazoa; Chordata; Actinopteri; Characiformes; Acestrorhamphidae. The record is from RefSeq and is a predicted model, not a curated record. The transcript has 3 exons.
AGUGUCUAAAAUAUUGUUAUAUUUUACAUUGAAUCAGAACAGGGUCAAAAAUAUUGUUAGACUUCGAAAGGCAUCAGAACAGAGUCUAAAAAUUGUUACAUUUUGAAUCGUAUCAGAUGAGGGUCUUAAAUAUUGUUAUAUUUUAAAAUGCAUCGGAACAGAGUCUAAAAUAUUGCUAUAUUUCAAAAGGUAUCAGAACAGGGUCUAAAAAACCGUUGUAUUUCGAAUCGUACCGUUCACCACUUCAGUAUCAUAGCAA